This 381-nucleotide ribosomal RNA is filed under the name Vibrio anguillarum. RNAcentral describes it as "bacterial SSU rRNA". It matches the Rfam family "Bacterial small subunit ribosomal RNA", at positions 976 to 1356 of the family's 1533-position model. Lineage: Bacteria; Pseudomonadati; Pseudomonadota; Gammaproteobacteria; Vibrionales; Vibrionaceae. The record is from RNAcentral.
UACUCUUGACAUCCAGAGAAGCCAGCGGAGACGCAGGUGUGCCUUCGGGAACUCUGAGACAGGUGCUGCAUGGCUGUCGUCAGCUCGUGUUGUGAAAUGUUGGGUUAAGUCCCGCAACGAGCGCAACCCUUAUCCUUGUUUGCCAGCGAGUCAUGUCGGGAACUCCAGGGAGACUGCCGGUGAUAAACCGGAGGAAGGUGGGGACGACGUCAAGUCAUCAUGGCCCUUACGAGUAGGGCUACACACGUGCUACAAUGGCGCAUACAGAGGGCAGCAAGCUAGCGAUAGUGAGCGAAUCCCAAAAAGUGCGUCGUAGUCCGGAUUGGAGUCUGCAACUCGACUCCAUGAAGUCGGAAUCGCUAGUAAUCGUAGAUCAGAAUG